AGAAACUAGAAUGACUUGUCAUUUCUUUCAUCUUACAGAUGAGAAAACCAAGACAAAGUUGUGAUUUGUCCAGGGUUACAUUACUAAUAAGUGUCUAAGGUCAGAUUUUAACUCAGAAGAUAAGGAAAAUGAGGCCCAGAAAGGUUGUGAUUUAUCAAAGAUCACACCAUGAUCAUAUUGGAUUUAUGCUUGCCCAUCCUGUGUGACUCUUGUUCAAGUCUUUCUAUAAGUUUUCUACAAAGAUUCCACUCAAUGAAAUGGAAGACAUUCUUGUUCUUUCUUGAAAGGACACCAAUGGAGCACAAAGGUGACUGUCCUUCAUUUGUCCUUUAUCCUUGUCAGGUGACCAGCCUGAUUUUGAGCAGGGUCUUCCCUCAACUUACAGGUCCCAGAGCAGACUUUGAGAACUGGAUCACCCCAUACUUUGAAGAAUGUAGGAACUCUUCCAAGUGAGGAAACUCAGGUUGUCAUGAUCAAAGAACUUAUCACCUCAGGAAUAACCUAUUAUGAGCACCUCUAUACUUGGGUGGGUCCUUAGCAGCUGACAUCUAUCUUUGAAAUUAUACUGAAAGCCUGAUGUUUGGGUGGAAACUGCCUCUACUCCAGGUCAUACCACCAUGAAGCACUGGAAGAAAAUUUUUGUGCUUUUAUUACAUGUAAAUUAGAAAAAUGAAUAGGCUAAAUUAAAAAUAUAAAUAUUGUUCAUUUGCAUUGGAAACUGGCAGGAUGAAUGAAUAGCUGUUAGGAAAAAAACAAACUUGAUUUAUUAAUCACCUGGAUAUAAAGUCAAAGGAUAAGGAAGCCACAAUUGGCACCAAGAUUGUGUGUAUGAGAGGGAAAAUAAUAGGGUUUACAGAAAUCACUGGUAAACUGAGCACCAAGGAGAGGUAAGAGGGAUCUUUCUGGAAAAAUUUAAUGUCUCCUCCUGAAGUUAUUAUAGACUUACUAGCACUGUAAUACUAAGUUGUAAUAAAUUGUACACAACGAAAAGAAAAUACUUUUUA
This 1004-nucleotide long non-coding RNA is filed under the name Monodelphis domestica (gray short-tailed opossum). Its description in RNAcentral is "lncRNA (ENSMODG00000042374.1)". The record is from RNAcentral. Lineage: Eukaryota; Metazoa; Chordata; Mammalia; Didelphimorphia; Didelphidae.